GUUUCGAGUUUGGGUGGUCUAUUGCCUAAAGUUCCGUUUUUUGAUGCCAGUUGUGACUUCUUGAUGAGGAAACAACCAUUGGGGCAAAUGCAGCAACAAGUCAAUUUGCUGCCUGCUCAACAGUUUCAGCCGAAGCCAUUAAUUGUACCUAAGCUUGAGGCAGCUGGUGGUGGUGGUAAUGGUAAUUUGAUGGUGCCUCGUCAUCAACUGCAGGAACAACAAUUUAUUUAUGACCAGAUUUUUCAGGCCUCAGAACUAUUGCUGGCCGGACAAUUCUCAAACGCGCAAUUGAUAUUGGCGCGGCUCAAUCAACAGCUUUCUCCCAUUGGGAAACCCUCAAGGAGGGCUGCUUUUUAUAUCAAGGAGGCUCUGCAGUUGCCUUUCCUUGUGCCUUGCACAUCCACUUUUUUGCCUCCAAGAAGUCCCACCCCAUUUGAUUGUGUGCUUAAGAUGGAUGCUUAUAAGUCCUUCUCCGAAAUAUCUCCACUUAUCCAGUUCAUGAAUUUCACCUCCAAUCAGGCUAUUCUUGAAGCUCUUGGGGAUGCUGAGCAAAUUCACAUAAUAGAUUUUGACAUCGGUUUUGGUGCUCAAUGGUCCUCGUUUAUGCAAGAACAAGUCAAUUUGCUGCCUGCUCAACAGUUUCAGCCGAAGCCAUUAAUUGUACCUAAGCUUGAGGCAGCUGGUGGUGGUGGUAAUGGUAAUUUGAUGGUGCCUCGUCAUCAACUGCAGGAACAACAAUUUAUUUAUGACCAGAUUUUUCAGGCCUCAGAACUAUUGCUGGCCGGACAAUUCUCAAACGCGCAAUUGAUAUUGGCGCGGCUCAAUCAACAGCUUUCUCCCAUUGGGAAACCCUCAAGGAGGGCUGCUUUUUAUAUCAAGGAGGCUCUGCAGUUGCCUUUCCUUGUGCCUUGCACAUCCACUUUUUUGCCUCCAAGAAGUCCCACCCCAUUUGAUUGUGUGCUUAAGAUGGAUGCUUAUAAGUCCUUCUCCGAAAUAUCUCCACUUAUCCAGUUCAUGAAUUUCACCUCCAAUCAGGCUAUUCUUGAAGCUCUUGGGGAUGCUGAGCAAAUUCACAUAAUAGAUUUUGACAUCGGUUUUGGUGCUCAAUGGUCCUCGUUUAUGCAAGAACUUCCAAGUAGCAGUAGAAAGGCAACUUACCUGAAGAUUACAGCUU
This 1174-nucleotide long non-coding RNA is filed under the name Capsicum annuum. RNAcentral describes it as "long non-coding RNA (CANN_LNC000137)". Lineage: Eukaryota; Viridiplantae; Streptophyta; Magnoliopsida; Solanales; Solanaceae. The record is from RNAcentral.